Long non-coding RNA from Cyprinus carpio carpio, 4347 nucleotides. NCBI's taxonomy places the organism in Eukaryota, Metazoa, Chordata, Actinopteri, Cypriniformes, Cyprinidae. The record is from Ensembl.
AUGAUUAGCGCUCGUCUCACACAGGCUUCAUUAUCUGCCUCUGUGUUUCAGAUCACCACAGACAUGACAGCAUGGCUGAAAGUCACGGCAUCAAAGGAAGCGAUAUUAAUGCUGACUUCAAGGUCAGAACAUCAAUUCAGGCUGUUUUGCAAAAUUCCCAGUGAAGGACAGAGGCACGGCUGUGUGUCAGGUGAACGGGAUUGUGUUCUUAAUGAAAGACUCAUAAAACGCACUACAGGGAGAGUGUGCUUGCUUUCUAGGUCAUUAUUCAAACCCAACGUGAGAUCAGGUCACUCUAUCAGCUGUGUUCAUGUUGAAGUGUCACAUAAGCCUGUUUUAAGGUCCAUUUACAAAAAAAAUUACUUCAUGAAUAAUACAAAAAAAAAAAAAAAAGUAUGUUUUUGGGGGGAAAAAAUAAGUAUUUUCUGCUCACCAAGGUUGCAUUUAUCAAAAAUACAGUAUUAUAUAUAUAUAUAUAUAUAUAUAUAUAUAUAUUAUUGCAAUUUAAAAUAGCUGUUUUCUAUGUGAAGAUCUGUUAAAAUAUAAUUUAUUUCUGUGAUUCAGCGCUGAAUUUUUAGCAUCAUUACUCCAGUCUUCAGUUUCACAUGAUAUUCAGAAAUCAUUUUAAAAUGAUGAUUUGCUGCUCAAGAAACAUUUCUGAUUAUUAUCAAUGCUGAAAACUAUGUAAGCACGUUUCUACCAUGAAAAAAAGACUAAAUAAAUAAAAAGGUAAUUUUAAAUAACUUUUUAUCUCACAAUACAGACUUUGUUUCUCGCAAUUCUGAUAAAGAUAGUCAAAAUUGUGUUAUAUAAACUCUGUAUUGUAAGAAAAAUAGUCAGAAUUGUGAGAUAAAAAGUUGCAAUUACCCUUGUAUUUUUAUUCUGAGGUAAAAACAAAGAAACUGAAUUGUGAGAUGCAAAGACAGAAUUGUGAGAAAUAGUCAGAAUUUCAGGUUGACAUGUUACUAUUCAGAAGUUUAUAAUUAUGAGAAAAAGUCUGAAUUGUGAGGUCUGAGCUGUUUCAACGGAAAGAAACUUGCACAGAUUGAUCUUAAAAUAUGUCUGUGCCCUAGUUUUGUCCCAAGAUGCACACCAGAAAUGCUUUUUUUUCUAAGGCAUGUUUAUAAAAAUUACUUAAAUGUCCUAAUUGAACUAUGGCCUAAUCCUGGCUUAGUCUAAGCCCUGUCUGUGAAACCAGGCCAUAAACUCAGAAUUGCAAGAAAAUAAAUAUAGUUUAUAUAUAUAAAUAAAGAUAUAAACUUGUAAUUGUGAGGAAAAAGUCAGAAUUGUUAGAUAUAAACUUGUAAUUGUGAGAAAAAGUCUGAAUUGCGAGAAAUAAACUGAAUUCUGAGAAAAAUUCGGAUUUGUGAGACAUAAAUUUUAAUUGCGAGAAAAAGUCUGAAUUGCGAGAAAUAAACUCUGAAUUCUAAGAAAAUUUCGGAUUUGUGAGACAUAAACUUGUAAUUGCGAGAAAAAGUCUGAAUUGUGAGAAAAAACUGAAUUCUGAGAAAAAGUCAGAAUUGUGAAAUAUAAACUUGUAAUUGCGAGAAAAAGUCUGAGUUGCAAAGAAAUAAACUGAAUUCUGAGAAAAAUUCAGAAUUGUAAGACAUAAACUUGUAAUUGCAAGAAAAAGUCUGAAUUGCGAGAAAAUAAACUGAAUUCUAAGAAAAUUUCGGAUUUGUGAGAUAUAAACUUGUAAUUGCGAGAAAUAAACUCUGAAUUCUAACAAAAUUUCGGAUUUGUGAGACAUAAACUUGUAAUUGCGAGAAAAAGUCUGAAUUGUGAGAAAAAAACUGAAUUCUGAGAAAAAGUCAGAAUUGUGAGAUAUAAACUUGUAAUGCGAGAAAAAGUCUGAAUUGCAAGAAAUACUGUAAACUCUGAAUUCUGAGAAAAAUUCAGAAUUGUGAGACAUAAACUUGUAAUUGCAAGAAAAAGUCUGAAUUGCGAGAAAAUAAACUGAAUUCUAAGAAAAUUUCGGAUUUGUGAGAUAUAAACUUGUAAUUGCGAGAAAAAGUCUGAAUUGUAAAAAAUAAACUCUGAAUUCUGAGAAAAAUUCGGAAUUGUGAGAUAUAAAAUCAGAAUUGUGAGAAAAAGUCAAAAUUGUGAGACAUAAACUUGUAAUUGCGAGAAAAAGUCUGCAUUGUGAGAAAAAAACUGAAUUCUGAGAAAAAGUCAGAAUUGUGAGAUAUAAACUUGUAAUGCGAGAAAAAGUCUGAAUUGCAAAAAAUAAACUGAAUUCUGAGAAAAAUUCGGAAUUGUGAGACAAACUUUUAAUUGCGAGAAAAAAUCUGAAUUCGAGAAAUAAACUCUGAAUUCUAAGAAAAUUUCGGAUUUGUGAGACAUAAACUUGUAAUUGCGAGAAAAAGUCUGAAUUGUGAGAAAAAAACUGAAUUCUGAGAAAGAGUCAGAAUUGUGAAAUAUAAACUUGUAAUUGCGAGAAAAAGUCUGAAUUCAAAAAAUAAACUGAAUUCUGAGAAAAAUUCGGAAUUGUGAGACAUAAACUUUUAAUUGCGAGAAAAAAUCUGAAUUCGAAAAAUAAACUCUGAAUUCUGAGAAAAAUUCAGAAUUGUGAGAUAUAAACUCAGAAUUGCGAGAAAAAGUCUGAAUUGUGAGAAAAAACUGAAUUCUAAGAAAAAGUUAGAAUUGUGAGACAUAAACUUGUAAUUGCGAGAAAAAGUCUUAAUUGUGAGAAAUAAACUCUGAAUUUGUAGAAAAAAUUUAAAUUGUGAGAUAUAAACCCGGAAUUGCGAGAAAAAGUCUGAAUUGUGAGAUAUAAACUUGUAAUUGCGAGAAUUAUAUUUUUAAUCUUUUUUUAUUAUUAUUCUGUGGUGAAAACAAGCUUCCAUAGAAAGCAUUUCUUCAUAUUUUUUGUGGAAACCGUGAUGAUGAAUAGAAAAUUCAAAAGAUUUACUGUCACUUAUGAUCAAUUUAAUGCAUCUUUGCUGAAUAAAUCUAUGAAGAAAAGUCUUUUGAACAGUAGUGUAUAACUGGAAUGUUUUCAGAUAUUUACAUGGCUGCAUUUGCAGUUACUCAAGCAACAUUACAAAUGAUCACAUGGGCUAUGGGUCAUUUUCGAGGUUCCCGAGUCAAACAGAAAAACCGCGAAUGGAAGAACCAGUGGUCUGAUGCAGAACUCGACACCUUAAUGAGCACAAAAGCUGUACAUCCCGAGCCUGUGAGAUUUUGUCUGGGAUCGAGAUCACAGCCGACCCUCGAGUACAAACAAGAUUCGGCAAGCUGGAGGUUCUGGCUCAGACUGGCGACCCAAAAUUAGGCCGGUUUUGAAAGAACGCGGUCUGGGGUUUGAGACCAACGGUCUUUCUUGGCACGGAUGCCAUCUGUAAUAUUCAGCACAUUUCAUACACGGUUAAUUUCAGCUGGACAGCUUCAGUGCCAAUGAAAAUACAUUCGUUCUCUUUGCCUUCGACACUGGGAGCGAUCCAGGCCUCCCUCUCGAUUCAUGGAAAAGUGCACUGGAAGAGAAGGAGAGAAAGAUUUAAUUUAAAACUGUGGAAAGACACCAUCUAACCUCUCGGUGUUAUAAAUCACAGGAUUGAUGAGGGGAAUGGCUGGAGCCGAACGCAGAAGGCUGAAUCUAUUGUCCAUAUACAUUGGCUUCAGGAAUAUGGAGGCUUGCUUUACAGACGCCUGUUAUUUGAUGACUCAAUGGAGCCGAGGAACAUUUUUUGCUUUGAGCGAGAGAAUUAUAACGGGGGAAAACAACCGCAUACUCAGAUGAAAUGCUCUGCCAGGGACUUUUAUGAAUACCAUUAGAUCUCCCACUUGAUGAAAUCAUGCAUUUUCUCAAGGUAAUAUCCUAAUUAGGCCAAAUGAAGAGUACAAAAGUGUCAUACAUGUUUUUUAUUAAAUGAUUUUAAUUGAGCGCGACUCGUUUAUUUUGCAAUCUAAAUCUGCUCCAAUGAAAUGUGUUUGCUCUGCAUUGAAUUUGCAUGAAUUAAAAUCAUCAGAUGCAGUUCUAGAAGAGAACAAUGAAAGAAAAUCUGGUUUUGAUCCAAUUUAAAAGGACGGACAGGCAAAAUAAAUACCGUUGGUAUCAUUGGUUGAUUUUUAUAUACAUAUUUUCUCAUUCUGGAAAGCUUUUGUUGUUGGGCAAAAACAUUGUAUAGGCCCCUGCAAACAAGAUGUUGUCAUCAAUAUUUUAAAACAAAGACAAAGUUUAAAUUUAAAGAAGUAUAUCUGCAUCCAUUUAUUUAUGAGACAUUCUGUUUAUUUAUUUAUUUAUUUAUUAGGCAUUCACUGCAUUGUUUGUUUGUUUUUUUAACAUUCACUGCAUAUAUUUGGUUGGUUAUUUAUUUAUUUGGCAUUCACUUUAUUUGUUUGUUUUUU